Felis catus (domestic cat) is the source of this 106-nucleotide small nuclear RNA. NCBI's taxonomy places the organism in Eukaryota, Metazoa, Chordata, Mammalia, Carnivora, Felidae. The record is from RefSeq and is a predicted model, not a curated record.
GUGCUCGCUUCGGCAGCACAUGUACUAAAGUCGGAACGAUUCAGAGAGGAUUAGCCCGCCCCUGUGCUCGGAGGACACACACAGUCGUGAAGCAUUCUGUGUUUUU